Molecule: ribosomal RNA, 157 nt
Filed under: Orbexilum virgatum
Lineage: Eukaryota; Viridiplantae; Streptophyta; Magnoliopsida; Fabales; Fabaceae
Description: 5.8S ribosomal RNA
Rfam family: 5.8S ribosomal RNA
About the family: 5.8S ribosomal RNA (5.8S rRNA) is a component of the large subunit of the eukaryotic ribosome. It is transcribed by RNA polymerase I as part of the 45S precursor that also contains 18S and 28S rRNA. Functionally, it is thought that 5.8S rRNA may be involved in ribosome translocation.
Source: RNAcentral
CACAAUGACUCUCGGCAACGGAUAUCUCGGCUCUUGCAUCNAUGAAGAACGUAGCGAAAUGCGAUACUUGGUGUGAAUUGCAGAAUCCCGUGAACCAUCGAGUCUUUGAACGCAAGUUGCGCCCRAAGCCAUUAGGCCGAGGGCACGCCUGCYUGGG